AAUGAACGCUGGCGGCGUGCCUCAGACAUGCAAGUCGAACGAGAAAAAUCCUUCGGGAUUAAGUAAAGUGGCGCACGGGUGAGUAAUACUUAGGUAACGUACCUUUUCGCUGGGGAUAACGAGGCGAAAGCCUCGCUAAUACCGAAUACCCCGGGAGAUACUAUGGUUUCUUUCGGGAAAGCCGUAAGGCGCGAAAAGAGCGGCUUAAGACCUAUUAGCUAGUUGGGAGGGUAAUGGCCUACCAAGGCUUCGAUGGGUAGCUGGUCUGAGAGGAUGAUCAGUCACACUGGAACUGGAACACGGUCCAGACUCCUACGGGUGGCUG
Molecule: ribosomal RNA, 325 nt
Filed under: uncultured Pseudomonadota bacterium
Lineage: Bacteria; Pseudomonadati; Pseudomonadota
Description: bacterial SSU rRNA
Rfam family: Bacterial small subunit ribosomal RNA
Source: RNAcentral